Molecule: ribosomal RNA, 269 nt
Filed under: uncultured archaeon
Lineage: Archaea
Description: partial 16S ribosomal RNA
Rfam family: Archaeal small subunit ribosomal RNA
Source: RNAcentral
CAGCACCUCAAGUGGUCAGGAUGAUUAUUGGGCCUAAAGCAUCCGUAGCCGGCGCUGUAAGUUUUCGGUUAAUCUGUACGCUCAACGUACAGGCUGCCGGGAAUACUGCAGCGCUAGGGAGUGGGAGAGGUAGACGGUACUCGGUAGGAAGGGGUAAAAUCCUUUGAUCUAUUGAUGACCACCUGUGGCGAAGGCGGUCUACCAGAACACGUCCGACGGUGAGGGAUGAAAGCUGGGGGAGCAAACCGGAUUAGAGACCCGAGUAGUCC